UUUUAAGUGAUUCCUGAAAAGCCCCAAAACAGUCAAUAAUUUGAAUGUGGUUAAAAUCCUUUUUGCUUUAUACAGUAAGUCUUCCAUUAGCCUUACAAAAUUACUUUAAAACUAUUUUUUCUACUUUACUAAGCAGUUUCUUUUUUUUUUUUCCAUCUCUCUAAUGAUACAUAAUAGAUGUACACAGUUUCAGGGCACAUGUGAUAAUUUAAUACAUUCAUAUAAUUUGUAAAGAUCAAAUCAGUGUACUUGGGAAAGAAGUUGGUUUAGUGUUCCACUGAAGAGAUAUAAAGCAGGGAUUUCGGUGGUGAAUUGGCAAAAUUCAUUUCAUGUGCCACACACUUUAUCUGAGCUAACGAUUUUUUUUAAGUGGAGUAGUGAAACUGUACAUGUCACUGGGAAAAAGAAAACAAUCCUAAGCUUACACUAGAUGGAAAAAUUCUAUCUACAAGCAACAAAAAUAUUUAUCAUCUACCAUUAGGAAGCAUUUACUAGUAUACAUACAGUGUUUCAGUGGAAAGAAUAUCCCUUUGGAACCAUAUCAGAGAAACUAUGCGGUCUUCGGCAGAACACCCUGGUUUAAUAUUAAACCAAGAAAAGGCAAUCAAUACUCUUAACAGCACUUAUACAAUUUUAAAACCAUGUACUGUAAGCUCUAGAACUUAAUGGUUUUC
RNAcentral lists this long non-coding RNA (674 nucleotides) under Homo sapiens (human). Its description in RNAcentral is "HSALNT0107341". The record is from RNAcentral. Lineage: Eukaryota; Metazoa; Chordata; Mammalia; Primates; Hominidae.